AUCAAGUUAGUUUAAGGAAAAUUUUGAAUUGUGGUUUCAAAGAUGAUUGUUAGUUACUUGAUA
This 63-nucleotide transfer RNA is filed under the name Otobius lagophilus. RNAcentral describes it as "tRNA-His". Lineage: Eukaryota; Metazoa; Arthropoda; Arachnida; Ixodida; Argasidae. The record is from RNAcentral.